This 1501-nucleotide ribosomal RNA is filed under the name metagenome. RNAcentral's name for it is "bacterial SSU rRNA". It matches the Rfam family "Bacterial small subunit ribosomal RNA". The record is from RNAcentral.
AGAGUUUGAUUCUGGCUCAGAACGAACGCUGGCGGCGUGGAUAAGACAUGCAAGUCGAACGCUGAUUAUAGGGUAGCAAUAUUCUGUAGUCGGAGUGGCGAAAGGGUGCGUAACACGUGGGUAAUUUGCCGUGAAGUUGGGGAUAACUCGCUGAAAGGCGAGCUAAUACCGAAUGUGGCCUAACAAGGCUAAAGUUGGGGACCGUAAGGCCUGACGCUUCAUGAUAAGCCCGCGGCCUAUCAGCUAGUUGGUGAGGUAACGGCUCACCAAGGCUAAGACGGGUAGCUGGUCUGAGAGGACGACCAGCCUCACUGGAACUGAGACACGGUCAGACACCUACGGGUGGCAGCAGUCGAGAAUUUUUCUCAAUGGGGGAAACCCUGAAGGAGCGACGCCGCGUGGGGGAUGAAUGGCUUCGGCCCGUAAACCCCUGUCAUUUGCGAACAAACCUUUCGGUUUAAUAUGCCGAAAGCUGAUAGUAGCGAAAGAGGAAGGGACGGCUAACUCUGUGCCAGCAGCCGCGGUAAUACAGAGGUCCCAAGCGUUGUUCGGAUUCACUGGGCGUAAAGGGUGCGUAGGUGGUAGGGUAAGUUUGACGUGAAAGCUCCGAGCUUAACUCGGAAAUUGCGUUGAAUACUAUCCCACUAGAGGGUUGUAGGGGGGACUGGAAUUCUUGGUGUAGCAGUGAAAUGCGUAGAUAUCAAGAGGAACACCAGUGGCGAAGGCGAGUCCCUGGACAACUCCUGACACUGAGGCACGAAAGCUAGGGGAGCAAACAGGAUUAGAUACCCUGGUAGUCCUAGCUGUAAACGGUGCACAUUUGCUGUGAGCGGAAUCGACCCUGCUCGUGGCGAAGCUAACGCGAUAAAUGUGCCGCCUGGGAAGUACGGUCGCAAGAUUAAAACUCAAAGAAAUUGACGGGGGCCUGCACAAGCGGUGGAGUAUGUGGCUUAAUUCGAUUCGACGCGAAGAACCUUACCUGGCCUUGACAUGCAGGGAUUAUUCGGGUGAAAGCCUGGAAAUUGCCGCAAGGUGUAACCUGCACAGGUGCUGCAUGGCUGUCGUCAGCUCGUGUCGUGAGAUGUUGGGUUAAGUCCCGCAACGAGCGCAACCCCUGUGUCCAGUUGCCACUCCUACUUCGGUAGGAAGCACUCAGGACAGACUGCCUCGCUUCAACGAGGAGGAAGGUGGGGAUGACGUCAAGUCAGUAUGGCCCUUACGGCCAGGGCUGCACACGUACUACAAUGCCCGGUACAGAGGGAAGCAAGACCGCAAGGUGGAGCAAAUCCUCAAAACCGGGCCCAGUUCAGAUUGUCGUCUGCAACUCGACGACAUGAAGCCGGAAUCGCUAGUAAUGGCGCAUCAGCUACGGCGCCGUGAAUACGUUCCCAGGCCUUGUACACACCGCCCGUCACAUCAUGAAAGCCGAUUGUACCCGAAGUCGCCCCUCAUAAGGUGCCGAAGGUAUGGUUGGUGAUUGGGAUGAAGUCGUAACAAGGUA